AUGAAGGACUGGAUGAAGCAGAUCCGCGACGUCACCUACGACAUUGAGGACUGUAUCAACGACUCCGGCAAGCGCAUCCGGGGCCUGCGCACCAGCCUGCGCUGCUACUGCCUCGUCAGCAGCGUCUACGAGAUCCUCACUUGGCGGCCUCGCCGCGACAUUGCCUCGAAGCUGUCCGUGCUCAAGAUGCGGGCGCAGCAGAUCAGCGAGCGGCGCGACAGGUAUGGGGUCGUCAACCCAGCUGAGUCCAGCACCAGCGCCGCUAGAUUUGACGUCGCCGACGACCAGGCCCCCAGCCUGCUUCAGCUGGUCAGCACGAGAGAACCCGUGGGAGUGGAAGAGCACACGCGGGACCUCGACAAGAGGGUGACCUGUAUUGUUGGGUUUGGAGGCGUGGGGAAGACGGCCAUCGCCACCUCCUUGUACAGGAACUCCGGGGACAAGUUCAGCCACCGUGCGACGGUCACCGUAUCUCAGAGCACCGACCUGGAGGCCAUCCUCCUGAUCAUCAGGGAUCAACUCAAGCCCCACACCAGCGUCCACAAGCAGCUGGGCAGCUCGGAGAAGAAGAACAGCCUUGUUGCAGCUGCCGUCAAAGGCGUACGGGGUCACGUCAGCCGAGGCUCGUCGACCGUCAUGGCGGCCAUAUGCUGCAGAUCUGACGAAUCCGAGGAAGCACGUGAAAUCGAUCACUCAACAAAGACAUCGCGGACUUCUUGA
RNAcentral lists this ribosomal RNA (720 nucleotides) under Triticum aestivum (bread wheat). RNAcentral's name for it is "partial small subunit ribosomal RNA". Lineage: Eukaryota; Viridiplantae; Streptophyta; Magnoliopsida; Poales; Poaceae. The record is from RNAcentral.